Molecule: non-coding RNA, 803 nt
Organism: Amborella trichopoda
Lineage: Eukaryota; Viridiplantae; Streptophyta; Magnoliopsida; Amborellales; Amborellaceae
Source: RefSeq, a predicted model, not a curated record
GGACGGAAGGAGCAGCACCCGGCUUCGCUUUGGUCUAGGCCUCAAAUCUAAGGCUUUGGCCAUUUCUGCCGUAGCAAGGCGAAUUUGACACCAGCAUUCCUGACCCUGUUCAACUUUUAUAAGGCCAUUGUCGUCCCUUAACGCCUUUCUCUCUCGCGUUCCUCACAGACCACCAAAUUUGCGCUUGGGAGGAUAAAAGGAUGGGUCUUCUUUGCAUAUUGCCUGCAACAACAUUUCCCAAUUACCGUCUUGCUCACGGAGGCUCCUCUCUCAUCCCCAUCUCACUAAGAAAGAGACGAUCUCUUUUACUCUCCCUUUCUUCUCUCAACCCAAAAAAUCAUUCUCCAUUUUUCUCCUCACCAGUGGAAAAGGAAGAUCGAAAUUAUCUUUGGAAGCUUACAGCAGGCUCUAUUGGUGGUGGAGCUCUUAUUAAAUAUGGCAGCAUAUUAGUCCCUGAAAUUACGAGGCCCAACCUCCUGCAAGCCCUGGUGAUAAUUGGUCUGCCGGUACUUCUUGGGGUUUUAGUAUUGAUCAAGGCGAGUAGUGCAGAUGCUAACUCAAACUGGACUCCCCAUUAAUCUUUUUCACUUCCAUUCUGUUAAUGAUAUCAAGUUGGCAUGUAGCUUUUUCUAUUAUCAGGCUAGAGAAUCAAUGGUUGUUUAGUUUUUCCGUCCUAGGCCCUUGAGUUUCUAUGUAUUCUUACUUUUAUAUUUGUCCAAAAAUGGGCUAAAGUUUCAAACAUAUGGUGUAUGUUGAGAACUUUUAUACCCAGUGAGUUACUAUUUAUCCCUAAAAAUUGGGUA